This is a non-coding RNA of Paramuricea clavata, 413 nucleotides long. Lineage: Eukaryota; Metazoa; Cnidaria; Anthozoa; Malacalcyonacea; Plexauridae. The record is from the annotation of a GenBank genome assembly.
AAUUUAAUUGAUACUUAUCUUCGUUUUUCUACAAUAAACUUCCCUGGAUAUCCUAAGUUAAAUAGGAAAAGAAAUUUAAUUUGUUUGAUAGUAAAACUCGAUUUGACUAUCCAGUUGUAGUUUAGAUCAAUGGAAGAAUUAAACCUGAUUUCCACACUCUGUUAUUUCUUUAUCAAUUUUUGGUAACAAGCGCUAUCAUCCUGUACUCGUUUCGUGUUGUCCAGCUCUGUGUAGCUAGGGGGUGAUUUUCUCUUUCCAACCUCUUCGUAUGAUGACUCUGCUUCAGUAUUAGCAGAUAUUACAUAAUCUGAGUCGCGUUUUAACAAUUUCUGGUAGAGGCCAUCAUUUGUUGCUUUGUCUUGUCGGUUAAUUCUGUCAAGCUCAGCGUAAACAGAAGGUGGCGAGAUUUGGAC